ACCAUAUUUCCAAUGAGUGAAGUUUUAGACUCUUUACAUUUGGUACCACAAGUACCAUUAAUGGGGUUGUGGCUGGGCAGUAUAGUCAAGUGAUUCUCUGAAGGCAGAAAUAAAUAAGCAGAUCGUUUACUUUUUCAGUAUAACUCCACUUGUUAGGCUUUUAGCCUCUUCUUUCAACAUAGGUUUAAUAAAUAGGGAAUAAUCUUAACUAGCCACCACUGCCAGGUGGUGCUACUUCCCUUUCUGCUGUUUCAUGAUCCCACCACACUGUGUUAAUCCUCACCAGUGGUUGUCCUGUGAUUGGCUGCUGUAUUAUAGGCUGCGGUAAGCAGAAUAGUGACUCCCGAACCACGACCCCCAAACACGCAAAGAUGUCUACGUCCUAAUCCUUGGAAACUGUAAAAAUGUAACUUUACAUGGCAAAGGGGAAUUAAGAUUCCAGAUAGAAUUCAGUUUGCUAAUCAGCUGAUCUUAAAACAGGGAGAGUAUCCUGGGUUAUCUACAUGCACCCAAUGUAAUCAUGGAGUUUCUUAAAAGUGGGAGAGGGAGGCAGAAGAGAAGGCUGGAGUGACAAGAUUUGAGGACUGAGUCCAUUAUUGCUGAUUUUGAAGACGGAGGAAGGGCACGGUGAGCCAACAAAUGCAGGCAGCCUUUAGAAGCUGGAAAAGGCAAGGAAACAGUCUCCUAGAGUCUCCAGGAUGAAAUGUCGACCUACCAACACCUUCAUUUUAGCCCAGUGAGACCCAUCUAGGACUGCUGACCUCUAGAACUGUCCAAAAGCAGUAUGUGUUCUUCUUGACGCAGACACCAGAGAACUAAAAGAAGUUUGCUGCCCUCCUCACUUCCAUCCAACACACAAAGAAAUGUGCAGAAGUCACCAGAGAUCGAGAAGAAAGGACGUCUAAAAGUCACCACAGAAGAAUAUGACCUAACUAUAGAACAUAGCCAAUAGGAGAUCAUCCUUACAGCCCCAAAGGGCAGAAAAUGAAGUUGACUUAAUCAUCCACUUGUUAGCGCACCUUACUCUAUGAACUCAAAAUGCAGUGGAGAGAAAAGGGAUGGAAGAAAUUUGUUCAUAAUGAGCAAGCUAGGAAGACUGCUGCAAGUUUCCAAAAUUUCAGAUGGACUUUGUGAAUUGAGACUCUUAGAAAACUGCCAGUUUCUAUGUUUUGAUUUUCGUGAAAAUCAGAACCAAAGAGGAAAAGGUAAGUGAUAAUAUUUUUGGUUUAAGAAAUUAAACCAAAGUGUCAUGGUGCUACUGAGGUGCAGUUUCA
This 1274-nucleotide long non-coding RNA is filed under the name Homo sapiens (human). RNAcentral's name for it is "HSALNT0367460". Lineage: Eukaryota; Metazoa; Chordata; Mammalia; Primates; Hominidae. The record is from RNAcentral.